GUGGAAGAUAGCUUGCAACUUCACAUGGUCCUAGUUAAAAUGCCCUUUGAGCCACUGGCAGUUUAUAGGAACAGUGGUGUCUCCUGGGUUCUAACUGCAGUCAUUAUUACAAUGCUUACAAAAGGAGGCAGUACUGGCAACCAUCCUCAAGCUGUUGUUUUUAUUCCUAGGACACAAAAUGAACUUUUGUAAUGGAAUCAAGGAAAUGGAAAUAACAAAAACUAUUGACACAAUUGACUUGCAGUGUUCAGUAAGUGGAAAAAUUACUGAAAGUUGUGUGAGCAGCCACCUCUGCGCAUGCAGCAUGUGCUCAGCCCUACCUCCUAUCUGUACAGGUUGGAAAAAUGCCUCCAUGGGCACUCUGCUUCCAUAGCAGCACAGUCCUGGUCUCCCAUCUCCCUGCCAGGCUGAGGACCACGCCCAUUGGUUUCACGUAGAUCAGGGCAUGCCUCAUAGAAAAUGAGAAUCCCAUGCCCAAUGUGUUGAUCAUGAGAAGAAAUGAGACUUUAGAAAGAACUGAGCAUAGCCAGGAUCUACAAGUGAAGUAUAAACUCUGUUUUUAACGGUAAGGUUGAAAAGAAUAAGUCCAAGCACUGCAUAAGGGAUGUUGAUCUUAAGUUUGCGCUAGGUGACCAAGAAGGUAAGUGCAUCUGUAAAUACCUUCUCUGAAUGGUUUUGUGCUCUUUUCUGAACCAGCCUGCAAUAAUUCUUGUUCAAGAAAGAUGUCCUCCAUGACCCAGUGCAGCCUGUUUUACCCCUGGCUAAUUUUUAGUGAUGUGUCUGUCUCAGAGAGAAUAGAAUUAAUGCUUUCCAAAUUGACCACUACUGAGAGAGGUCAUGAAAUUACAGACUGGCAAAGAACGCUGUAAAUCAGAAAGUCAAUAAAUUAUCAUGUGGGAGAAAAACUUUAUUCCUA
This 916-nucleotide long non-coding RNA is filed under the name Numida meleagris (helmeted guineafowl). RNAcentral describes it as "lncRNA (ENSNMEG00000019002.1)". The record is from RNAcentral. Lineage: Eukaryota; Metazoa; Chordata; Aves; Galliformes; Numididae.